RNAcentral lists this ribosomal RNA (495 nucleotides) under uncultured bacterium. RNAcentral's name for it is "partial 16S ribosomal RNA". It matches the Rfam family "Bacterial small subunit ribosomal RNA", at positions 28 to 507 of the family's 1533-position model. The record is from RNAcentral.
GAUGAACGCUGGCGGCGUGCCUAAUACAUGCAAGUAGAACGCUGAAGGAGGAGCUUGCUCUUCUGGAUGAGUUGCGAACGGGUGAGUAACGCGUAGGUAACCUGCCUGGUAGCGGGGGAUAACUAUUGGAAACGAUAGCUAAUACCGCAUGACAACAGUUAUUGCAUGAUAACUGUUUAAAAGGGGCAACUGCUCCACUACCAGAUGGACCUGCGUUGUAUUAGCUAGUUGGUGAGGUAACGGCUCACCAAGGCGACGAUACAUAGCCGACCUGAGAGGGGGAUCGGCCACACUGGGACUGAGACACGGCCCAGACUCCUACGGGAGGCAGCAGUAGGGAAUCUUCGGCAAUGGACGGAAGUCUGACCGAGCAACGCCGCGUGAGUGAAGAAGGGUUUCGGAUCGUAAAGCUCUGUUGCAAGAGAAGAACGAGUGUGAGAGUGGAAAGUUCACACUGUGACGGUAUCUUACCAGAAAGGGACGGCUAACUACGUG